CUUAGGCAUUUAAUGAAAAUUCUCUUACCCCGGACAUCCCUUACCCGACCCCCUCACAAAAUUUAGGGUUAGGACAUUUGUGGCUACAGUAGUACAUGGCUGACCGAAGCAAUUCAACGGCGAUUACGGCGGUGAAGUCAAUAUGGGUGAAGCAAGCCGAGGAAGCGAAGCUGAAGAGCGAAGCGGAGAAAGACGCAGCCGCGAAAGCUGCAUUCGAAGCUACAUUCAAAAACGUCGAAGCUUCAGCCGCGGCGGCGGCGGCGGCCGCCGCAUCCGAUAGCGACGAAGAUGAUGAGGAGUACGAGCAGAAGAGGAUCGCCGAGAAGCCGAUCGGUCCUGUUGACCCUACGAAAUGCACGGCCGCCGGCACCGGGAUCGCCGGCGGAACGGCGUGUGCUCCGUCGACGUUCACUGUUGUCACGAAGGACUCCGACGGUCGUAAGAUUCCGCAUGGUGGGGCCCAGGUUAAGGUUAGAGUUUCACCUGGUGUUGGAGUUGGAGGAUCGGAUUUGGAAGGGAUAGUAAAGGAUAUGAGUGAUGGGACGUACACAGUGAGUUAUAUUGUUCAGAAGAGAGGGAAUUAUAUGGUGAAUGUGGAAUGUAAUGGGAAGCCCAUCAUGGGUAGUCCUUUCCCUGUUUUCUUCAGCACAGGUAGUACUACUGGUGGAGUAUUGGGUGUAGCACCAUCAACCAAUUUUCCAAAUAUGGUCAACCAGAACAUGCCUAAUAUGCCAAACUAUUCUGGUUCUGUAUCUGGGGCAGUCCCAGGAUUGCUCGGGAUGAUACCAGGUAUUGUUCCUGGAGCUUUGGGAGGAGUAGUUUUACCUGGAAUUGGGGCAUCUCUUGGGGAAGUUUGUCGAGAAUACCUUUACGGACGGUGUGCAAAAACUGACUGCAAAUUCAAUCAUCCCCCUCACAAUCUUCUAAUGACUGCUCUAGCUGCGACUACCAGUAUGGGAACUCUUAGUCAAGUGCCCAUGGCACCUUCUGCGGCUGCAAUGGCUGCUGCUCAGGCAAUUGUUGCUGCUCAAGCUCUUCAAGCGCAUGCACAAGCUCAGUCUGCAAAAGAUUCCUCUGGUGACCAAGAUGGAAAGGCCGAUUCCCUUAAAAGAACUCUGCAAGUCAGCAACCUCAGCCCACUUCUGACAGUGGAUCAGUUGAAACAACUGUUUGGUUUCUAUGGUACAAUCGUUGAUUGUAGCAUUACUGAAUCCAAACAUUUUGCUUACAUUGAAUACUCAAAACCUGAAGAAACAACUGCUGCUUUGGCGUUGAACAAUAUAGAAGUUGGUGGUCGCCCCUUAAAUGUUGAAAUGGCAAAGCAACUUCCUCCAAAGCCAGCUGUUUUAAAUUCAUCAAUGGGUUCAUCUUCUUUGCCCUUGAUGAUGCAGCAAGCAGUAGCAAUGCAGCAGAUGCAGUUUCAACAGGCCCUAUUAAUGCAGCAAGCUAUGACUGCGCAGCAAGCAGCUAAUCGAGCUGCAACCAUGAAGAGUUCCACUGAUUUGGCUGCCGCAAGAGCUGCAGAAAUAAGCAAGAAGUUGAAAGCUGAUGGUCUGCUUUCUGAUGAUAAGGAAACUGAUGACAAGGCCAAGUCACCAUCUGCUGAUCGUGCUAGGUCAAGAUCCAGGUCACCAUCCAAAUCAAGAUCUAAGUCCAGAUCUCCAAUAAGUUAUAGGCGAAGACCAAGAUCCCGCUCUUUCUCUCCUGUGCCGCGGAGAUCAAGAGAUUAUAGAUCAAGGUCACCAGUAAGAUCCCGUCGUUAUUCAGGCAUUGAAGAUGAAAGGCGGUCAUAUAGGGAUGUUAGAUAUGCUAGUGACAGAGGAAGAAGGCGGGAUUCUGUUAGAUUCUAUGAUCGUCGUUCUCCUGUUUCAAGGAGAAACCGAAGUAGGAGCACAAGUCCUCGAACUAGAAAAUCUUACCGUGCUGAUUUAGGCUCACCAAAACGCCGCCGAGAAAGUCCAGUUCACAAGACAAGUAGAGCUUCUCGCCGUGAGUCAUUAUCUCCUGAACAUGGACGAAGAAGUAGGUCAUCCCCAAAAGAUGGUGAAAGAAAGUCAAAGUAUAGCAGGCGAUCGAGAUCAAAGUCUGCUGAAGGUAGGGACCAGUCUGAUGAUAAGCUUGAAGGAAGCAGGGGUGAAAAAGCCAAGCAGAAGGACCAGGGAAGGUCACCAUCACCACAGGUUGUUGAGGAUGCACAGAAGAAAAUGUCACCAGAAGUCCCAGAAGAAAGCAAGUCAAAGCAUGGAAGAACCUCCAGGUCCAGGUCUCCAGAAGAGAAGCAUCAUUCUAGCAGAAGCAGAGAAGAGAAAAGAAAGCAUCAUGCUAGAAGGCGCUCCAAGUCAAGGUCCAAAUCUCCUGAAGAGAAAGAUCAGGGAAGGUCAGCAUCACCACAGAUUGUUGAGGAUGCACAGAAGAAAAUGUCACCAGAAGUGCUGGAAGAAAGCAAGUCAAAGCAUGGAAGAACCUCCAGGUCCAGGUCUCCAGAAGAGAAGCAUCGUUCUGGCAGAAGCAGAGAAGAGAAAAGAAAGCACCAUGUUAGAAGGCGCUCCAAGUCAAGGUCCAAAUCUCCUGAAGAGAAAUAUCACUCAAGUAAUAAAUUAGAUAGAGGUAAAGGAGAUAAGCCAAAGCAUCGAAGUAGAAGGCAUUCAAAGUCAAGGUCCAGAUCUCCUGAAGAAAAACAUCGUUCAAGUGAUAAAUUGGAAAGGAGCAGAAAAGAGAAGUCAAAGAGUCGUAGUAAAAAGCGGUCCAGGUCAAGAUCUGUCGAUGAUAAGCAGCACAGCAGUAAACAGUCUACAAGGCGUUCCGAUGACCGACGAUCAAGACACAGGGGACGCUCUAGAUCAAAAUCUGCUGAAAGUAGGCAUGGAUCAGGUGAAGAUGAAACCAUAAAGGAUGAAGUGAGAGGUCAUAGGGGUCACCAGAAAAGUUCCAGGCGGCAUGACAGUAAUAAUGGAACAAGUGAAGCUAGCUUGAUUGAAGAAGAUCCUGCUAAGGGAAUGUGAACCAGCUACAGAUAGCUUCCAAUUCGAAGAGUUUCUGAAUCUAUGGGUUAUGGCUUGUGAUUGUUGAUCUUGUGAACAUUUUAUUUUAUCAUUGCAGAAAACAUGGAAGGUUUUGAGGAGGCAAGGUGCCUUGGAAGAACGUGACCGCAGGACACAGAUUGACUCCUUUUGAUGAGCAAGAUCUCUUAGAGUGAAUUAGUUGCAGUUUGUAUGACAAAUACGCAUAUUUUUGCUUCUUUUGCAGGUCUUUCAAUGGAACAUAUGCAGGAAGUGAAGUAGCAUUAGUUGAAAGAUUGAAUAUCAAGCUUGCUUCUGCACCAUCUUGGAUCAACUAUGCUGAGUUUCUUGUGAACUACUUUUUGAGCCUCAUGUUGUGGGACUGAUUCUUGUCGGCGCUUUAUCAUUCUUGUCGGCGCUUUAUCAAAUGAAUGGGCACAGUUAUAUCUGAUUGUAUUUGAAGGUAUGCAAUUGAAAAUUUUUGUUGUUUAAAUGGGACGGCAUUGCUGCUGUUGGAACAAAUACAUUACGAAUGCUGGCUGAAAAUUGCUUGGAUGAAGAAAUAUGUUAAAGUUUAAGGCAGGCUGCUAUUAAGGCUGUUGCAACCAGGUGUUGCUGAGAUCAGUAGAAUCGCGAUGCUCCCUGAAUCGAGCAUGAACAGAUAUUCUCAUAUCUGUUCUUUAAUUGGUGAAACUCAAUUGUUGUUCCGUAACAGGUGGUGCUGGAUGUAUGGACUGAGAGCUGUAUCCUGUUUCUCAAACUAGAUGUGGUUGAUGUCACACUUCUCAUUUCCUUCCCUUUCCUCGCUCCCCCUUUUCUCUUUCCUUUCACUUUUACUCUUCCCCAUUUUUCCAACUGGCUUCUCUUUUCUCUUCCUGGCUUUCCUCCUCUUUCCUUUUCUCUUUUGGCUGGUGGUUGGAGGUUCUGUAAGGAUUAUAUAACUAGCAAAAAGUCACAAGCAGCAAGGCGAGGAAACAUCAAUUUUGGCUGGUGAUUCCACAAUGUAUUACUGUUAGGAUGCUUUAAUUCUUUUAACAAGGAUUAUAGCUCAGAGUAGAGACACUUUCUGUAGGUUGAAGUUUUCAAUACAGAAGUUUCACCCACAUAUUACUUAUAACCUUCUUUCCUGUCAAUUACCUGUUCACCAGUGGGCCGUUGUGGUCGUCUUUGUCCUGGUUAAAAAUGGUGUUGGCUGAUAACCAUUCAGUCCCUGAUAGUUAGAUUAAUUUUUAGGGUAAAUUUGAUUCUGACCCUGGAAUUUGUGAUGUUCCCAUCCUUUGACCAUAAAGAUGCUUGUGGUGUGUUAGGUAUUAUGGACUAAUUAAAUUAUCUCUAGGGUAACUAUACUUUGGCAUGGACCAAUGCGAGAAAUUAAUCGAUGUUGUAUCUCCUCGGCUCUGUUUGAAGAACACCAGAAAUUUUGUCGGGUUAGAUUUCAUCUUGUUCGUGAAUUGGUGUUACAGUAUUAACUUUUUUAGUUGAAUAUUUAUUUGUUAUACUUGUCGUGCUAGCACUGAGAAUACACAAUCCAUAAAAAAUUUGUGAUUGUGUAUCCGUUGUAUAUAUGAAUGGCAUCAAGACUUUUUACUAGAACCAACUGCAUUCUGGAUUUGA
RNA transcript from Nicotiana attenuata, 4613 nucleotides. It is a transcript of the gene named serine/arginine repetitive matrix protein 2, with no coding region annotated. Lineage: Eukaryota; Viridiplantae; Streptophyta; Magnoliopsida; Solanales; Solanaceae. The transcript is spliced from 7 exons. The record is from RefSeq and is a predicted model, not a curated record.